Long non-coding RNA from Anas platyrhynchos (mallard), 6085 nucleotides. RefSeq lists it as uncharacterized. The record is from RefSeq and is a predicted model, not a curated record. NCBI's taxonomy places the organism in Eukaryota, Metazoa, Chordata, Aves, Anseriformes, Anatidae.
GCUAUUUACUUCAUACUUUCUAAAACAUCUGGAAACAGAAGCUGAGUGAGAGGAGGACAGUGAAAGCUCAAGGAUAUACACUAAGAGGUGCAUGUCACUUGGCUGGAGCCUUGGAGGAUUCAGCUGAUGGUGCUGGUACUUGCUGGCUGGCUGGUCAUCUCACUGGGCCCUCAAGAGAAACAUGAUGCUACUUUUCUGGCAACUGAAGCUUUCCUGGAAGGCUGGAAUCUUUUGGAAAGGCAGCUUCAAAGCUGUGAAGUUGGCUUGUGUUGUCAUUCAAGAUUUCAUUCUCUACAAAGCAAAGAAAUGGGGGAAAACAUCUUAACAGAGGCUGUUCCUUUGAAUACUCUGUCUUCAGAUCUUUAACAGAGUUGUUUCUGCUGACAUGACUGCAAUACUGGAAAGAGGACACAUGAUAGAAAAAGAAAGCAUAUGUUAGUUUGAUAAUACUCUCCUGAAUUGCUCAGUACAUAAUUUUUUAUCCUUUUCCUUCUUCUGUCUGACCAUAUGGUGGUUUUAAAUCAGGUGGGUUAAGCAAUCCUAGAAGGAAAAAUAACUCUUAGCAAUUAAUCUGAAGUUAGAACUAAUCAUCUGUUGUAUAUCUGAUUAUUUUAUUUGUUUAUUUAUUUAUUUAUUUAUUUAUGGAAAAGUAGAAUUGCCAGAUGGCUUUUUGCAUUACUUCUGUGGCGUGACUCCAUUUUGUCCUCCCUUAUCCUUUACUUCCAAAGAUAAACAAUUCAUAUUAAAUACCUGCACAAUAAGCAUUUUCUGUGUCGUAAUAAUUUUCAUUGCCCUUUCCUACACCUUUUUAUUUUUCUCUUGAUAGAUGGUAUUUUAUCAUCUGAGAUAGGUUGUCCAGAACUGAAAUUUUAACCAAAGCAUUCUGUGUAUUAAAAUAACAUUACACCACUAUCAGUGUUUCUUUUUGUACUCUUCCUAAGACAACCUAACAUCUGCUGUUUUUUCCUCUCAUUAUUUAUGCUGCAGAAUUUAUUAUUGUUACUUAUUUUUAACAGUAUGCAUGAUAGUGUGUACAUUUUUCUUGGUAUAACAUUUUUUUUUGGUUAGAAUUACAGAAUCAAAGAAGACCUUCAAGAUCAUCAAAUCCAAUUGUCAACCUGGCCUAUUAAAUCCCACCACCAAACCAUGUCUCUCAGUGCCACAUCCACAUGGAUGUGAUAAACACCUUCAGCUAAGGGGACACCACCACUUUCCUGGGCAGCCCAUGUCAAUACUUAAAAAUCGUUGUGGGAUGCUUUUGCAAGUUUGCUGGAUGGUUUCUUUCUACUUACUAUACUUCACAUUGUGUUUCAGUUGCAUUUCCCUGUAGAGUCUUGUGCGAGGAUCCUUGAGAUUUAUUUAUUUAUUUAUUUAUUUUCAUUUUCUGCACUGAUCAUGCCUAGCUAACUAAUUUUUACUCAUUUGUAAGAGUGAUAACAUUUUUCCUGGUAUAUGUGCCCAACAACAGACUUCCUCAGCAGAAACAUUGUAUGCAGCUGUCAUCAAUGAAUAUAUCUGCUAUGACCUUGUCUAAAAUGAUUCUUGUUUUCAAUCCGCCAGUAUUCUGUGCCAGAGAAUUCCACCCACUAACCAUUCGCUGUGUGAAAAAAUUGUUAAACAUACUGCUUGAUAAAUUCAUUUAGUGCUCAUUCCUGUACUGUGAGACACUGAACAAAUAUUCCCUGCCUCUCUCCUUGAUCCACUGAUGACUUCAUGGGCCAUUCUUUUCCCCUUUGCUCUUCUUUCAUCUCUUUUCUAAGCUGAAUUUUUUUAUUGCAUUGUCUCUUUGGAAAGAAAUUAUUUAUAAAUUCUGAAAAUUAUUUUUUGGCUGUUUGUUUUCUCAUAAGUAUUAUACCAGUUUGAUUCCAUCCUUUCUGAGAUGGAAAAGGUACUUUCUGUAGUGUUCAAGAAUAGCCUAUAGCAUGGAUUUAUACAUUUUAUUUUCAUAACAUUUCCUGAUAAAACUUACAUUUAUGCUUGCCUUUCUUAACUGCCAUUGAACUGACUGUUUUCAGAACUACUCAAAAUGAUGAUAAACCCUCUUAACAACCUAUAGUUGUGCAUGUAUAAUUAAGUUUUUUUUUUUUUUUUUUUUUUUUUUUACUUUAUUUUUUUCUGCAUGUGCUUUACUUAGCGUUUAUAGACACUGUAUUUCAUAUGCUGUUACCCACUCCCAAAGUUUUGUAAAACUACUCUUCAGCACUUUACAGAUAAAAGUAAAUAUCAUUUUAGAUUGAGAAAAUAAAUUAAAAACUAGUAUAUUUGUCUUUGUCCAGACAAAUAAAGAUAAUAGCAUGCAUUGUGGGUGAAACACAUGGUCAUAUCUCAUCUGUACAGGUCCUGUCUGUCCAGUUGCUCUCUCUUAGAGACCACCAUCCCUUACUCGUCCCACUGAAAGGUCUGAAAAAAUCCCACUGACUUUACUCUGGCCAGGAUUUCACUCAUAGUGAUUCAGGAAGAAGGAAGUGGCUGGAAUAGGAAUUCAUAGAAGUUUGAAAUCAUCUUGCUUCCAAGAAAUUGGAGCAGCCUCACUUGUUAAAUACCCUGAAAUAUUUUCUUAACCACAAAGAAAGACCCCAUAGGAAUGCUAACAUAGUGUUCUCUCUCCCUCUCUCUCUUUCGUCUGAUAUUUUGUCACACUUUAGCUAUCUAUAAUUACCAUAUUUUUGCAAACUGGUGAAACAGGCAGCAUUUUCAACUUCCCUCUGAACAUUUUGUGAGGCAAAACACAGAAGUAACACCUACAUGUUGAGGGUUCUGGUGCUGGCCUUCUUCCAAGCAUCUUUUGAGACUAGCUGUAAGAAAUCUAAAAGAAUUAGACAAGUUGGACCCUACACACCCAUAUGGAACUAAAAAUCUAAUGACAACACAGGAAACUGUCAGCUGGUUCUUGAAGAGUCACACAAGAAAGAAAAGCCUUACCAGAAACCUGGUUUAUUGAACCUAACUGACAUGAACAACAACAAACCAAAAUUAGUAAAAGCAUGUGCCUAGGGCAACCUACUGCUGUUUAUUUAUUUUAAGUUUCCUAGAGCUGCUUAUUCUUUCAGUUUCUUUGUUGGACUUUGUGAUGCAGCAGUCUCGCAAUGGCAAAAUGUUAUAUUAUGAUGGACAAAGAUAAUGACAAUCAAAGGCAACAUACAUUUCUGAAUAAAUAAAAUAAAAAAUCCAUUGCUUAUUAGUUUUCCCAUUGUGACCUUUUACUUUGUCUAGUAUAAAGAAAGAAAAAAAAAAUAAUAAUGGGCUUCUCAAAGUACUGUCUUGUCUUAUAGGUAAGGUUGAGAAGGUCUGAAUACUCCCAGUUCUCUUCAAGUAUCACAUCUCACUGCCAGAACUCACUGUCCUACUUCAUUCUUAAGUAUAAAUGGAUCAGAAGACAAAACCAUUGUUUAGUCUGCUGAGUUCAAGCUGGAAGUAGUUUGCUGUUGAUUCAUCAUCUGCCUCAGAUGUCCGACCGUCAGACUUUAGAUGGCAGCUAAUACAUUCUUCUUCAUAGUUCUGCAUGGUUCUUAUUUUCCUCUAACAUAUUGUCAUCUCAUUCCCUAUUUAUUUAACAAAUAGAUACUCAAGGAAGGUUUAAUCAUGCCAGACUCUGUUGGGCACCAAAUCCAGCAUCUGAAUGUCACUGGCACACAGUCCCAUACUGGCAUCCUGAAGCCAUCUAAGCUUUGAGGAGCAGUCCUCCAGGUGUUCAGCUCCUACUUGUUCCCAAGUUCAGAUGUGUUCCCUUUCUCAGGCCUUGUCCCCAUUAGACAUGUUCUAAACAAGCUCUAACCAACCCCACAGAAGAGGCAGAUAGAUGAGGCUCAACCAGUAGAUGUAGCACAGAGACCACUGCAUUCAUGUGGGAAUAAGGCACACAUUGUUUCCGAACUCUUCUCUGUUUGUGAAGCUUUGAACAACUGUCUCACAUCUUUUUGGUAUGUUUAGCUGCCGGCUUGGUUAAACCACAACAACACUUUAGUAACUUUUAGCCUCAGGAAGUUGUUUCAAAAUCUGAACACAUCCACCAGAUUUAGGAAAACAGAGUUAAUGAGAACAGGGAAAUGUUACUUCUGGAAAAGCCUGAGAUAAUGGACAACAGCUUCACGCUGCCCCCUGAACUUGCCAAGCUUUUUUUAAGGAAACACAUCUCAUGUGGUACAGCAGCAUUUCAGCUUGGGAGCAUGGCUUCAACCUGAAAGAUGCUGGAUUUGUAGAGUUUUGCAACCAAAGUUCCCAGUCUCAUAUCUUCCUCUGUAAAUCCGUUUGCUGUCUCUGUGGGAUUUUCCAAUCACCUAAUUCUGCCUCAGACAUUUCCUUCCAGGCUCUGCUCAACUUUUCUAUAUUUGCUAUAAGAGCAACAUUUUUCAUACAUCAGAGAAGCAAAUAAGAUGUAUGGGCCCAGACUGGAUCUUGGUGACACCAGGUUCACUCCCUUUAUUUCAUUGUCUUUACUUUCAUUGCAUAUGGGUACAAACAGGAGAAUUUGGCCCACAACAUAAAAAUGACAUGUAUUCACAACAUAAACCAAUGAUUAUAUUACCACACAGUACGGCAAAUUGUUUUUUAGGCAAUAAAAAGUCAUUAUCAUCUCCAAAGGAGCAAUUACACUGCACACUGUGAGUGCAUAUUAAGAAUAUUACACAGAACUCCUCUCAGUCUAAAUUAGUCUACUGACGUGAUGACAGAUCUGAAGACAGAAGAGUGCAGAAGACCUGGGCAUUCUGUGUACUUAAAGAAAUUUUCAUUAGGGUGACUAAACUGGCAUGAAUAUAUCAACAAAGACAUUGGAGGCAGAUCCUUCUCCAAUGUAAAAUAUUUAUUUCAGUAAAUCUAGGUUUGUGUAAAACAACUGCUCUUUACACUUUGAGAGAGAUAAAGGAAACUGGCACAAAAGAGUGUGGGGGUAGUGCUUUAUUUACCUAAUCAAAUAGGGUUGCCAGAUCAGAUUCCGUGUUGCACCAGUACAGCACAUCUGCCUUGUAUUAGCAACUCUUCAGUGCUCAUUCUGCAAAUGCACAGGGCCUUUCUUACAGGUCUGACCCUGCCUUCUGUGCAUGUCCUCUGAGCCAUGGGAGUGCUGUGAGUGUAAAUGAGAUUAGCGUCUGAACCAAAUCACUGUCUUGACUGGACAGAUGGACCCUGGUCUGUUCUGCUGCUUGGGUGAAGGUGCCACACGCAAGCACUUCUGUUGCUAUUGGUUGUCUUUCCCUCUUAGAAAUGAUCUUAAAAGGAUGAGAGGCUGGGAGGAAGAUUGCUGGGGAAGAUUUAACAUGACUAAACCCUGAAGAGAAUGUUUGUAAAUCCUUUGAUUCCACUUAGUUUGUUUCAUUCAAAAAUCAUUAUUUCUCAUAUAAUCUGCAAGCCAAUUACUGGCCUUGUACAGCUGCUUUUAGAUUCUGCUGUAUUUAUUGCUCUAGUUAAAGCACAGACAUGCAAGACACUAACUAUGAUAUGUGAAAUCAGAUUCAUUCACUGAUGCACUGCAAAUCUCAUUGGAAGCAAUGAAUUUCCUUUAUUUAGACCUAUUCUGCCUCAAUCAGUGGGGAAAUAUAGAUUUUUUUUUCAUUUGUAUGAACAAGAAAGUCUUGUUAGUGAUUUACCUCUGAUGUUUAUGGAUUUCCCUUUAGCACAUACAGUACAUGGCAAAUUGUUUCAGGCAAUAAACAUUAAUUGUAUUUUAGGACUCAGAGGUGUCACUGCCUUAUUAUAUUCAGAACCUUGGUAAAUUUUUCAGUUCUACUUUUCUUCUGCAGACAGAAAUGCAUAAGCUAAAUAAUGUUUCUUGACUGCUAAGCUACAAUUUCUUCUUCUCCGUUUCUCACCAAAUUUUCAGAUUAACGAUAUUUUUAAAAUGUAUUAAAUAUUAAAAAAAAAAAAAAUGUAAAUGAAUGUUUGUAAUUAUAGUGCCUGGUACCCUUCAAGGACUCAGAAAAGAAAAACUUUUAAUCUAAAGCAACUUCACAAGCCACCAGAGCUAAAAGUUAAUUGGAAAUUAAUUCCAUAUUCUGUGUAAAUUAUUUGUGUUAAAUCAUGUGUUACUUUAUAAAUAAUAUGUAUUUAAGCAGGCUUUUGUAAGUACAAGAUAAUUAACAAUAAACAG